RNAcentral lists this transfer RNA (95 nucleotides) under Candidatus Atribacteria bacterium. Its description in RNAcentral is "tRNA-Ser". It matches the Rfam family "tRNA". From Rfam's summary of the family: Transfer RNA (tRNA) molecules are approximately 80 nucleotides in length. Their secondary structure includes four short double-helical elements and three loops (D, anti-codon, and T loops). Lineage: Bacteria; Pseudomonadati; Atribacterota; Atribacteria. The record is from RNAcentral.
GGAGAGGUGGCUGAGCCCGGUUGAAAGCGCUCGACUCGAAAUCGAGUAGGUGGGUAAUACCUAUCUCGCGGGUUCGAAUCCCGCCCUCUCCGCCA